This 599-nucleotide ribosomal RNA is filed under the name Escherichia coli. RNAcentral's name for it is "partial 23S ribosomal RNA". It matches the Rfam family "Bacterial large subunit ribosomal RNA", at positions 1 to 632 of the family's 2925-position model. Lineage: Bacteria; Pseudomonadati; Pseudomonadota; Gammaproteobacteria; Enterobacterales; Enterobacteriaceae. The record is from RNAcentral.
GGGUUGUGAGGUUAAGCGACUAAGCGUACACGGUGGAUGCCCUGGCAGUCAGAGGCGAUGAAGGACGUGCUAAUCUGCGAUAAGCGUCGGUAAGGUGAUAUGAACCGUUAUAACCGGCGAUUUCCGAAUGGGGAAACCCAGUGUGUUUCGACACACUAUCAUUAACUGAAUCCAUAGGUUAAUGAGGCGAACCGGGGGAACUGAAACAUCUAAGUACCCCGAGGAAAAGAAAUCAACCGAGAUUCCCCCAGUAGCGGCGAGCGAACGGGGAGCAGCCCAGAGCCUGAAUCAGUGUGUGUGUUAGUGGAAGCGUCUGGAAAGGCGCGCGAUACAGGGUGACAGCCCCGUACACAAAAAUGCACAURCUGUGAGCUCGAUGAGUAGGGCGGGACACGUGGUAUCCUGUCUGAAUAUGGGGGGACCAUCCUCCAAGGCUAAAUACUCCUGACUGACCGAUAGUGAACCAGUACCGUGAGGGAAAGGCGAAAAGAACCCCGGCGAGGGGAGUGAAAAAGAACCUGAAACCGUGUACGUACAAGCAGUGGGAGCACGCUUAGGCGUGUGACUGCGUACCUUUUGUAUAAUGGGUCAGCGACUUA